CCUACGGGUGGCAGCAGUCGAGAAUCAUUCACAAUGGGGGAAACCCUGAUGCUGCGACGCCGCGUGGAGGAAUGAAGGUCUUCGGAUUGUAAACCCCUGUCAUGUGGGAGCAAAUUAAAAAGAUAGUACCACAAGAGGAAGAGACGGCUAACUCUGUGCCAGCAGCCGCGGUAAUACAGAGGGCUCAAGCUUUGUUCGGAAUCACUGGGCGUAAAGCGUGCGUAGGCGGUUUCGCAAGUCGUGUGUGAAAGGCGCGGGCUCAACCCGCGGACGGCACAUGAUACUGGGAGACUAGAGGAAUGGAGGGGGAACCGGAAUUCUCGGUGUAGCAGUGAAAUGCGUAGAUAUCGAGAGGAACACUCGUGGCGAAGGCGGGUUCCUGGACAUUAACUGACGCUGAGGCACGAAGGCCAGGGGAGCGAAAGGGAUUAGAUACCCGUGUAGUC
RNAcentral lists this ribosomal RNA (446 nucleotides) under uncultured bacterium. Its description in RNAcentral is "partial 16S ribosomal RNA". It matches the Rfam family "Bacterial small subunit ribosomal RNA", at positions 338 to 795 of the family's 1533-position model. The record is from RNAcentral.